CCGAGACCCUUAAACAAAACAGACCGCGAACGAGCCCCCCGUGCCGCCGGGCCCAGGCCCGGCACCAGGACCCUCGGCCCCGUCUUCGGGGAAGGGGGACGCAACAGAACCCACGGCGCCUGAGGCGCCAAGGAACACCCGUACUACCAUCCGCGCGGCGGAGCGGUCGGCCUGCCUUCCGCUCCCCGGGCGGCGGUGACAUCUUAAUCCACACGACUCUCGGCAACGGAUAUCUCGGCUCUCACAUCGAUGAAGAACGUAGCAAAAUGCGAUACCUGGUGUGAAUUGCAGAAUCCCGCGAACCAUCGAGUUUUUGAACGCAAGUUGCGCCCGAAGCCUUCUGGCGGAGGGCACGUCUGCCUGGGCGUCACGCCAAAAGACACUCCCAACACCCCCACGCGGUGAGGGACGUGGCGUCUGGCCCCCCGCGCCGCAGGGCGCGGCGGGCCGAAGCAGGGGCUGCCGGCGAACCGCGCCGGGCGCAGCACGUGGUGGGCGACAUCAAGUUGUUCUCGGCGCAGCGGCCCGGCGCGCGGCCGGCGUGUCGGCCCUACGGACCCAUGGAGCGACCGAGCGCGACGCCGCUCGGACC
This 592-nucleotide ribosomal RNA is filed under the name Tripsacum laxum (Guatemalan gamagrass). RNAcentral's name for it is "ITS1, 5.8S ribosomal RNA, ITS2". The stretch from base 215 to 370 matches the Rfam family "5.8S ribosomal RNA". The record is from RNAcentral. Lineage: Eukaryota; Viridiplantae; Streptophyta; Magnoliopsida; Poales; Poaceae.